UGGACAGUUUGAUCCUGGCGCUCAGGACGAACGCUGGCGGCGUGCUUAACACAUGCAAGUCGAACGGAAAGGUCUCUUCGGAGAUACUCGAGUGGCGAACGGGUGAGUAACACGUGGGUAAUCUGCCCUGCACUUCGGGAUAAGCCUGGGAAACUGGGUCUAAUACCGAAUAGGACCACUUGGCGCAUGCCUUGUGGUGGAAAGCUUUUGCGGUGUGGGAUGGGCCCGCGGCCUAUCAGCUUGUUGGUGGGGUGAUGGCCUACCAAGGCGACGACGGGUAGCCGGCCUGAGAGGGUGUCCGGCCACACUGGGACUGAGAUACGGCCCAGACUCCUACGGGAGGCAGCAGUGGGGAAUAUUGCACAAUGGGCGCAAGCCUGAUGCAGCGACGCCGCGUGGGGGAUGACGGCCUUCGGGUUGUAAACCUCUUUCACCAUCGACGAAGGUCCGGGUUUUCUCGGAUUGACGGUAGGUGGAGAAGAAGCACCGGCCAACUACGUGCCAGCAGCCGCGGUA
This 516-nucleotide ribosomal RNA is filed under the name Mycobacterium sp. N199. Its description in RNAcentral is "bacterial SSU rRNA". It matches the Rfam family "Bacterial small subunit ribosomal RNA", at positions 1 to 522 of the family's 1533-position model. Lineage: Bacteria; Bacillati; Actinomycetota; Actinomycetes; Mycobacteriales; Mycobacteriaceae. The record is from RNAcentral.